GCUUGUCUCAAAGAUUAAGCCAUGCAUGUCUAAGUAUAAGCACUUAUACCGUGAAACUGCGAAUGGCUCAUUACAUCAGUUAUAGUUUAUUUGAUAGUCCCCACUACUUGGAUAACCGUAGUAAUUCUAGAGCUAAUACAUGCGUCAAGUCCUGACUGCGCGAGCGGAAAGGAUGUGUUUAUUAGAUCAAAACCAAACGGCUUCGGCCGUCUCAUUGGUGACUCUGAAUAACUUUGGGCUGAUCGUAUGGCCUUGUGCCGACGACGUUUCCUUCGAAGGUGUGCCCUAUCAACUGUCGACUGUGAUAUAGACGCUCACAGUGGUUUUGACGGGUAACGGGGAAUCAGGGUUCGAUUCCGGAGAGGGAGCCUUAAAAACGGCUACCACAUCCAAGGAAGGCAGCAGG
Molecule: ribosomal RNA, 406 nt
Filed under: Leptodiaptomus moorei
Lineage: Eukaryota; Metazoa; Arthropoda; Copepoda; Calanoida; Diaptomidae
Description: partial small subunit ribosomal RNA
Rfam family: Eukaryotic small subunit ribosomal RNA
Source: RNAcentral